GGGCGCAUAGCUCAGUUGGCUAGAGCCAUCGGCUCAUAACCGAUCGGUCGUAGGUUCGAGUCCUACUGCGCCCA
RNAcentral lists this transfer RNA (74 nucleotides) under Desulfomarina profundi. It matches the Rfam family "tRNA". Rfam says of the family: Transfer RNA (tRNA) molecules are approximately 80 nucleotides in length. Their secondary structure includes four short double-helical elements and three loops (D, anti-codon, and T loops). The record is from Rfam by way of RNAcentral. Lineage: Bacteria; Pseudomonadati; Thermodesulfobacteriota; Desulfobulbia; Desulfobulbales; Desulfobulbaceae.